CGGGUGCACUGAUCCGGCCGGGCCUUUCCCUCUGUGGAACCCCAUGGCCUUCACUGGCUGUGCGGGGGAAACAGGACUUUUACUGUGAAAAAAUUAGAGUGCUCCAGGCAGGCCUAUGCUCGAAUACAUUAGCAUGGAAUAAUAGAAUAGGACGCGUGGUUCUAUUUUGUUGGUUUCUAGGACCGCCGUAAUGAUUAAUAGGGACAGUCGGGGGCAUCAGUAUUCAAUUGUCAGAGGUGAAAUUCUUGGAUCUAUUGAAGACUAACUACUGCGAAAGCAUUUGCCAAGGAUGUUUUCAUUGAUAAGGAACGAAAGUUAGGGAAUCGAAGACGAUCAGAUACCGUCGUAGUCUUAACUAUAAACUAUGCCGACUAGGGAUCGGACGAUGUUAUUUCUUGACGCGUUCGGCACCUUUCGAGAAAUCAAAGUGCUUGGGCUCCAGGGGGAGUAUGGUCGCAAGGCUGAAACUUAAAGAAAUUGACGGAAGGGCACCACCAGGGGUGGAACCUGCGGCUUAAUUUGACUCAACACGGGGAAACUCACCAGGUCCAGACACAGUGAGGAUUGACAGAUUGAGAGCUCUUUCUUGAUUCUGUGGGUGGUGGUGCAUGGCCGUUCUUAGUUGGUGGAGUGAUUUGUCUGCUUAAUUGCGAUAACGAACGAGACCUUAACCUGCUAAAUAGCCCGUACUGCUCUGGCAGUUCGCCGGCUUCUUAGAGGGACUAUCGG
Molecule: ribosomal RNA, 729 nt
Filed under: uncultured eukaryote
Lineage: Eukaryota
Description: SSU rRNA
Rfam family: Eukaryotic small subunit ribosomal RNA
Source: RNAcentral